UACAGAGGUCUCAAGCGUUGUUCGGAUUCAUUGGGCGUAAAGGGUGCGUAGGUGGCGAGGUUAGUCAGGUGUGAAAUCUCGGGGCUCAACCCCGAAACUGCACUUGAUACUGCCUUGCUAGAGUACUGGAGAGGAGAUUGGAAUUUACGGUGUAGCAGUGAAAUGCGUAGAUAUCGUAAGGAAGACCAGUGGCGAAGGCGGCAUCCUGGACCAACACUGACGCUGAGGCACGAAAGCUAGGGGAGCAAACAGG
This 253-nucleotide ribosomal RNA is filed under the name uncultured bacterium. RNAcentral's name for it is "partial 16S ribosomal RNA". It matches the Rfam family "Bacterial small subunit ribosomal RNA", at positions 524 to 776 of the family's 1533-position model. The record is from RNAcentral.